This is a long non-coding RNA of Hylaeus anthracinus, 677 nucleotides long. RefSeq lists it as uncharacterized. The record is from RefSeq and is a predicted model, not a curated record. Lineage: Eukaryota; Metazoa; Arthropoda; Insecta; Hymenoptera; Colletidae. The transcript has 2 exons.
AAACAUAUUUCCAAGACAGUUGUCAGUAUUUGCUCAUAGGUUAACGAGUUAUCAUAAACUUAUGUAACACUUUGCUAUAUAUGCACUUGGCUCGUAUUAAAAUCGCGGGCAAUUGAUCCAUUUGACCGACAAGAAAAUAGCGAUAAAGUAUCAGUAGCAACGCGUAUUCAUCUCGAAUGCUUACACAUUCAGGUCUUUAUACACAGCUAUGUUAUACCGUAAACAUUUUCAAUGGUAGAUGUAUACUUUAUGAUUUAUAAUGACAGAUGGAUGUUUUUUCACGUGUAUGUACAGUAGGGUGGUUCUUAUUUUAACGAUUGUUUACGUCUAUGUUACGCAUUCACCAAAUACCUUGUAAAUACUUUACAGAAAGUCUGUGUGAAUGUAAAGCAUGUUAAAGUAUACAUAGAGAAAUUUCCUCUUCUUAUAAUGUACCAUUUAUUUUUAUAUCUAAAGAUCUUAUUAUUAUUUCGCAGCCGAUUAGCUCGUUAUUAUUCGCAAUGAAAAAUUGUUCGUAAUGUAAAACCAAUAAAUAUAAAUAAUAAAGUGUUUUUAUUUUAUUACGCAUUCCUUACAGAUCCUUUAACAAUUUUUAUAUCAUCAACAGGUCUAUCAUUUUUAUCAGUUUCAACUAAACCAAUCCUCUUUACUAUUGCCAUACCUGUAUGAAUUCGACC